UACUGCAUAUGUACACAUUGGUUGUUUACC
Molecule: non-coding RNA, 30 nt
Filed under: Mus musculus (house mouse)
Lineage: Eukaryota; Metazoa; Chordata; Mammalia; Rodentia; Muridae
Source: RNAcentral